CUGGGUCACAGGGCGCUCCGGCGCCCGUCACCACCCCCUGCUUCCCGCCCCCUUUCGGCGCGACGGGGUCCCCCUACGGGGUCCCCCUGCCGGAGCCCAAACCCUGAACGAACUUGCAGCCUGAGUCGAGAAGCAAAUAAUCA
RNAcentral lists this unclassified non-coding RNA (143 nucleotides) under uncultured fungus. Its description in RNAcentral is "sequence contains ITS1, 5.8S rRNA gene". Lineage: Eukaryota; Fungi. The record is from RNAcentral.